CCAACACCACCAACAUUUCAGCCUUCCCACCUUCUCCCUUGUUUCAAAGGGCUUCUCAUGUCCCCGUAGCCAGAAACCGAAGCUGCAGAUUUGCUCCUAGUAAGGUGUCGUGCAAUUCUGCGAAUGGUGAUCCAAACUCGGAUUCUACCUCCGACGUUCGAGAAACUUCCUCAGGGAAGUUAGAUAGGAGGAAUGUGCUUCUUGGCAUAGGAGGGCUGUAUGGUGCUGCUGGCGGUCUCGGCGCCACUAAGCCAUUAGCCUUUGGGGCUCCCAUCCAGGCACCGGAUAUAUCCAAGUGUGGUACCGCCACCGUGCCUGAUGGUGUAACGGCCACAAAUUGUUGCCCGCCAGUCACCACAAAGAUUAUAGAUUUCCAGCUACCUUCCUCAGAUUCCCCCAUGCGUACCAGGCCAGCUGCUCACUUGGUCAGCAAAGAGUACUUAGCCAAGUAUAAAAAGGCCAUUGAGCUGCAGAAAGCUCUUCCUGAUGAUGAUCCGCGUAGUUUCAAGCAACAGGCUAAUGUCCAUUGCACCUAUUGCCAAGGGGCUUAUGAUCAGGUUGGGUAUACCGACCUAGAACUCCAGGUUCAUGCUUCAUGGCUUUUCCUCCCUUUCCACCGUUACUAUCUCUACUUCAAUGAGAGAAUUCUUGCAAAGUUGAUCGACGAUCCCACCUUCGCUUUGCCCUAUUGGGCUUGGGAUAACCCUGAUGGCAUGUAUAUGCCGACCAUCUAUGCUAGUUCCCCAUCAUCAAUCUACGACGAGAAGCGCAACGCCAAGCACCUGCCUCCGACUGUGAUCGAUCUCGACUACGAUGGCACCGAACCCACAAUCC
This 834-nucleotide long non-coding RNA is filed under the name Vitis vinifera (wine grape). RNAcentral's name for it is "long non-coding RNA (VVIN_LNC006878)". The record is from RNAcentral. Lineage: Eukaryota; Viridiplantae; Streptophyta; Magnoliopsida; Vitales; Vitaceae.